Molecule: ribosomal RNA, 253 nt
Filed under: uncultured bacterium
Lineage: Bacteria
Description: partial 16S ribosomal RNA
Rfam family: Bacterial small subunit ribosomal RNA
Source: RNAcentral
UACGGAGGGGGCUAGCGUUGUUCGGUAUUACUGGGCGUAAAGCGCACGUAGGCGGUUUUGUAAGUUAGAGGUGAAAGCCCGGAGCUCAACUUCGGAAUUGCCUUUAAGACUGCAUCGCUUGAACGUGGGAGAGGUGAGUGGAAUUCCGAGUGUAGAAGUGAAAUUCGUAGAUAUUCGGAAGAACACCAGUGGCGAAGGCGGCUCACUGGACGACUGUUGACGCUUAGGUGCGAAAGCGUGGGGAGCAAACAGG